GAUGAACGCUGGCGGCGUGCCUAAUACAUGCAAGUCGAGCGAACGGACGAGAAGCUUGCUUCUCUGAUGUUAGCGGCGGACGGGUGAGUAACACGUGGAUAACCUACCUAUAAGACUGGGAUAACUUCGGGAAACCGGAGCUAAUACCGGAUAAUAUUUUGAACCGCAUGGUUCAAAAGUGAAAGACGGUCUUGCUGUCACUUAUAGAUGGAUCCGCGCUGCAUUAGCUAGUUGGUAAGGUAACGGCUUACCAAGGCAACGAUGCAUAGCCGACCUGAGAGGGUGAUCGGCCACACUGGAACUGAGACACGGUCCAGACUCCUACGGGAGGCAGCAGUAGGGAAUCUUCCGCAAUGGGCGAAAGCCUGACGGAGCAACGCCGCGUGAGUGAUGAAGGUCUUCGGAUCGUAAAACUCUGUUAUUAGGGAAGAACAUAUGUGUAAGUAACUGUGCACAUCUUGACGGUACCUAAUCAGAAAGCCACGGCUAACUACGUGCCAGCAGCCGCGGUAAUACGUAGGUGGGCAGCGUUAUCCGGAAUUAUUGGGCGUAAAGCGCGCGUAGCGGUUUUUAAGUCUGAUGUGAAAGCCCACGGCUCAACCGUGGAGGGUCAUUGGAAACUGGAAAACUUGAGUGCAGGAGAGGAAAGUGGAAUUCCAUGUGUAGCGGUGAAAUGCGCAGAGAUAUGGAGGAACACCAGUGGCGAAGGCGACUUUCUGGUCUGUAACUGACGCUGAUGUGCGAAAGCGUGGGGAUCAAACAGGAUUAGAUACCCUGGUAGUCCACGCCGUAAACGAUGAGUGCUAAGUGUUAGGGGGUUUCCGCCCCUUAGUGCUGCAGCUAACGCAUUAAGCACUCCGCCUGGGGAGUACGACCGCAAGGUUGAAACUCAAAGGAAUUGACGGGGACCCGCACAAGCGGUGGAGCAUGUGGUUUAAUUCGAAGCAACGCGAAGAACCUUACCAAAUCUUGACAUCCUUUGACAACUCUAGAGAUAGAGCCUUCCCCUUCGGGGGACAAAGUGACAGGUGGUGCAUGGUUGUCGUCAGCUCGUGUCGUGAGAUGUUGGGUUAAGUCCCGCAACGAGCGCAACCCUUAAGCUUAGUUGCCAUCAUUAAGUUGGGCACUCUAAGUUGACUGCCGGUGACAAACCGGAGGAAGGUGGGGAUGACGUCAAAUCAUCAUGCCCCUUAUGAUUUGGGCUACACACGUGCUACAAUGGACAAUACAAAGGGCAGCGAAACCGCGAGGUCAAGCAAAUCCCAUAAAGUUGUUCUCAGUUCGGAUUGUAGUCUGCAACUCGACUACAUGAAGCUGGAAUCGCUAGUAAUCGUAGAUCAGCAUGCUACGGUGAAUACGUUCCCGGGUCU
Molecule: ribosomal RNA, 1370 nt
Filed under: uncultured bacterium
Lineage: Bacteria
Description: bacterial SSU rRNA
Rfam family: Bacterial small subunit ribosomal RNA
Source: RNAcentral